This 1556-nucleotide ribosomal RNA is filed under the name Escherichia coli. RNAcentral describes it as "bacterial SSU rRNA". It matches the Rfam family "Bacterial small subunit ribosomal RNA". The record is from RNAcentral. Lineage: Bacteria; Pseudomonadati; Pseudomonadota; Gammaproteobacteria; Enterobacterales; Enterobacteriaceae.
AAAUUGAAGAGUUUGAUCAUGGCUCAGAUUGAACGCUGGCGGCAGGCCUAACACAUGCAAGUCGAACGGUAACAGGAAACAGCUUGCUGUUUCGCUGACGAGUGGCGGACGGGUGAGUAAUGUCUGGGAAACUGCCUGAUGGAGGGGGAUAACUACUGGAAACGGUAGCUAAUACCGCAUAACGUCGCAAGACCAAAGAGGGGGACCUUCGGGCCUCUUGCCAUCGGAUGUGCCCAGAUGGGAUUAGCUAGUAGGUGGGGUAACGGCUCACCUAGGCGACGAUCCCUAGCUGGUCUGAGAGGAUGACCAGCCACACUGGAACUGAGACACGGUCCAGACUCCUACGGGAGGCAGCAGUGGGGAAUAUUGCACAAUGGGCGCAAGCCUGAUGCAGCCAUGCCGCGUGUAUGAAGAAGGCCUUCGGGUUGUAAAGUACUUUCAGCGGGGAGGAAGGGAGUGAAGUUAAUACCUUUGCUCAUUGACGUUACCCGCAGAAGAAGCACCGGCUAACUCCGUGCCAGCAGCCGCGGUAAUACGGAGGGUGCAAGCGUUAAUCGGAAUUACUGGGCGUAAAGCGCACGCAGGCGGUUUGUUAAGUCAGAUGUGAAAUCCCCGGGCUCAACCUGGGAACUGCAUCUGAUACUGGCAAGCUUGAGUCUCGUAGAGGGGGGUAGAAUUCCAGGUGUAGCGGUGAAAUGCGUAGAGAUCUGGAGGAAUACCGGUGGCGAAGGCGGCCCCCUGGACGAAGACUGACGCUCAGGUGCGAAAGCGUGGGGAGCAAACAGGAUUAGAUACCCUGGUAGUCCACGCCGUAAACGAUGUCGACUUGGAGGUUGUGCCCUUGAGGCGUGGCUUCCGGAGCUAACGCGUUAAGUCGACCGCCUGGGGAGUACGGCCGCAAGGUUAAAACUCAAAUGAAUUGACGGGGGCCCGCACAAGCGGUGGAGCAUGUGGUUUAAUUCGAUGCAACGCGAAGAACCUUACCUGGUCUUGACAUCCACGGAAGUUUUCAGAGAUGAGAAUGUGCCUUCGGGAACCGUGAGACAGGUGCUGCAUGGCUGUCGUCAGCUCGUGUUGUGAAAUGUUGGGUUAAGUCCCGCAACGAGCGCAACCCUUAUCCUUUGUUGCCAGCGGUCCGGCCGGGAACUCAAAGGAGACUGCCAGUGAUAAACUGGAGGAAGGUGGGGAUGACGUCAAGUCAUCAUGGCCCUUACGACCAGGGCUACACACGUGCUACAAUGGCGCAUACAAAGAGAAGCGACCUCGCGAGAGCAAGCGGACCUCAUAAAGUGCGUCGUAGUCCGGAUUGGAGUCUGCAACUCGACUCCAUGAAGUCGGAAUCGCUAGUAAUCGUGGAUCAGAAUGCCACGGUGAAUACGUUCCCGGGCCUUGUACACACCGCCCGUCACACCAUGGGAGUGGGUUGCAAAAGAAGUAGGUAGCUUAACCUUCGGGAGGGCGCUUACCACUUUGUGAUUCAUGACUGGGGUGAAGUCGUAACAAGGUAACCGUAGGGGAACCUGCGGUUGGAUCACCUCCUUACCUUAAGAAGAAGC